UAAGGAUAGCGCCCGAUCUGUUAAAACCGAUGACGAGGAUAGAGUUUAUCGAAAAUUCGGCGGAUGGCUCUAGGGACUGCACUCUACAGAAACUGAUAAAAAGAAACUGCGAAGUUUUAACAG
RNAcentral lists this non-coding RNA (123 nucleotides) under uncultured Tetragenococcus sp. RNAcentral describes it as "glmS glucosamine-6-phosphate activated ribozyme". It matches the Rfam family "glmS glucosamine-6-phosphate activated ribozyme aptamer", at positions 5 to 147 of the family's 167-position model. Rfam says of the family: This entry contains a glucosamine-6-phosphate activated ribozyme that is found in the mRNA for GlmS. GlmS is an enzyme that uses fructose-6-phosphate and glutamine to generate glucosamine-6-phosphate. Lineage: Bacteria; Bacillati; Bacillota; Bacilli; Lactobacillales; Enterococcaceae. The record is from RNAcentral.